Long non-coding RNA from Ictalurus punctatus (channel catfish), 529 nucleotides. NCBI's taxonomy places the organism in Eukaryota, Metazoa, Chordata, Actinopteri, Siluriformes, Ictaluridae. The record is from Ensembl.
CAAAGCCAGAGGAGAAGCAAUGGCUCCGAUUUAUGUGGUCCCGGUUCUUUGGACCUGCCCGUCAAUGGGUUCAGCUCAAACUGGAGAAGCACUGUAGGAACCUGGACGGUGUAGAACAGUUUGUGGGGGAUUUCAUGUUGCGAUUCGGGAGUCCGGAGGCGAAGGAGGAGCUAGAACAACUUCUCAGGGGUGUAAGUCUGGAAGGCGAACCUGCCCUGCCGUUUACCCACUACUACAGGCAACGUCAUACAGAGCUCAACCCUGAGAUCCAAGCCAAGCCUCCAGUCAGGAAAGUCCAAGUCCCAGUCAAGUCUCAUGUCCCUGAUGUCCAAGUCCCAGUCAAGUCUGAAGUCCCUAAGGUCCAAGUCCAAGUCAAGUCUGAAGUCCCUAAGGUCCAAGUCAAGUCUGAAGUCCCUAAGGUCCAAGCCAAGCCUCAUGUUCCUGAGAUCCAAGCCAAGCCUCCAGUCAGGAAAGUCCAAGUCCCAGUCAAGUCUCAUGUCCCUGAUGUCCAAGUCCCAGUCAAGUCUCA